Molecule: small nuclear RNA, 183 nt
Organism: Dermacentor silvarum
Lineage: Eukaryota; Metazoa; Arthropoda; Arachnida; Ixodida; Ixodidae
Product: U2 spliceosomal RNA
Exons: 1
Source: RefSeq, a predicted model, not a curated record
AUGGCCGACGCGGGUUAAAGUGUAGUAUCUGGUCUUAUCAGCUUAAUAUCUGAUACGGGUUUAUUUUUGACUAAAUAUAAUAAACUUAUUUUUGCAAGUGGACGGAGUGCUUGAAGCCUGCUUCACGAGCUCCGCCGCGGAUCGGCCCGGUAUUGCACUAUCUUCGGGAUCGGCCCACGAUUU